UGGAAGUAAUUCAUUUACCAAGUUUCCAAAUAAUGCAUCAAAUGAAAACUCACCCUUGAAGUCAUCUAUAUCCAGAAUCAAUGGGAGGGAGCCAACUGAUGGAGAUUUCGAAACUUUACUAUCACUCUUGAUACUCUCUUUCAUCUCUACGGUGCUUCGACAAGCAAGAAAGAAUGACGGAGAAGAUAGCCAGGGAGUCUGCUUCUUUCUUCUACGCUUUGGUUGGGCAGAUCGAGCUAGGUGAGAGAGAGAGAG
This 255-nucleotide unclassified non-coding RNA is filed under the name Hevea brasiliensis (rubber tree). Lineage: Eukaryota; Viridiplantae; Streptophyta; Magnoliopsida; Malpighiales; Euphorbiaceae. The record is from RNAcentral.